AUUUAAAAAAAAAAAUCAAAAAUUGCUACUGCUUGACUCGUCCUGAGGAACCUGCAAGCUUCUUUAAGCUUCUACAGCCCGAUGCUCUGAGCAGUAUGUUCCUGCCUUAUGUUAUCAUUAGGCCAGGAAAUGUCCUCUGAGUGGCACCAUCUUUUGAUUUGUACAUCCCAAAUUUGAAGUCUGUCCAUCACUACUGACUUUUAUUAGUUUUCUGAGUUAGGCUUGUUAGGAGCAUGUAUCACCACGGCUUUGCAGACUACUCCUGCAUCUUCCAGCUUGCUACUAAAAUUCUUUGCAGGAGUCUAAACCAGACAAACUCACCUCACAGCUCUUCAGGUAUCUAUUCCACCACCAGGGUAUUUAUUGGCACACGAGACAACUUGUGCCUGCUCAUAAAUCCCUUUCAACAAAGAAGCAAUAUUUAAAGAUUUAAAAUUAGAGCAUUAGCGAUACAAAGGGAAAGCGGAACAGGUUUGUCCAUGCCCUGCUGUACCUGGAACAGGAUGAUCUUACUGUAACGUUACGUUUAUUUUAUUUAUCCCACUCUUAGCAGGAGCCUAUGGCAAAAGCUGCUGCACUAGCAUUUUCCUUCAAGGUGCAUUGAGCUUACAGGAGGUGUUUAUGGCAUACAACAGGAUAUGUGGACCUUGCUGAAUAGUGGACUGGGAUGUAAUUGGACAGGGAUAUAAUUUUUCCAGUUCAUUCUAAUAAUGAAUAUUUAGGUAUAAUUUCCUCAUCUGAAUGUUCAUCAGUUUGGGCUAAUACUUCGUUAAACUUCCAGAUGGAGAGCAAAAUACUUCUAAUAACUGUAAUAGUUAUCACGGCUCACAUUGCUUCUGUGGUAGGGCACAUUUGAAGAAGUCUGCAGGAAGCUCUCGCUGUUUCUUCUCGGUAUUUUUUCCAAUGGAUGUUAGCAUUCAUUAUGGAAAACAUGCAUCCCAUUUCUAAUAUACAUGUAUGUAACGUUUCUUUCUUGUUUGCCUUUUAUUGAUAUAAACUGGCAAGGUUUUUUCUUAAAGGGCUGAUUUUGGCUGCUUUAUUCACAUCUAACAGGUAGCUACGCAGAACAGAGUCUGUCACCCAUAAUGGGAAAUUUGGGAUUUUUUUUAUUUACCUGUUUAAAUUCAUGUGAAUGUUAUUAAAGUACAAAAUAAAUAGUGGUGGGACAUACUAAUAUCUUAAAUUAUCAAGAUUAAAACUACCAGAUACUAAGUGACGCACAAUUUCUCAUUGUUGUGUCCUGAAUAAGCCUGAAGGGAUCCUGAAGGGAAGUGGAAGCUCUGGAUUCUUUUAAGAAUCAGUAACUAAAACCCAUAUGUUUUGGGGGAACAAAACAAGGACUGUUUGGUGUUUUUCACUGAAACCAGCACAAAUGUUAUGAGUUCUGAAAGUACAAAAACGCAUUUUUUUCUUCUUCUUCAUCACAUAGCAUGCCAGCUGUUGAUGACGAAAGUUGGAAAAAAAAACAACCCUAUAGUUUUCAGAUCUCAUAUUAUUUGCAUGUAAUCAGAGUGAAAGAUAAUCCUGUAGCACAGCAGGAAUAUCAUUUUGCAAAGUCUUUGCUCAGUCAAAAUGUUGUUUGCGACUAGACUUCGUAUAAUGAGGUCAAAUAAACCCUUCUGUUGGCCGAGGUAUUUUUAUUUCUUGUCUAGAGUAGAGGCGAGGGAGGAAGAGAAGCAAAGGAGAACCAAGACAAGAAUUUGUCAGUAUAUAUAAAUCAGUCAUAAAAAUCACAUGUGUAUCAAACACAUCUGGUCGUGGUCUUUUAGCUUGAAACUCAGGAUAAAAUAUUGACUCACUGGGGUCAGAAAAGAGCAAAGGCAACUCAAGCCAAAUCCAUUGUCAGCAAGUAUGUCUCCAAAUAUAGACUAGUUUAAUUGUCUGUCCUUGUUAGGCCUGUUUUCUAGAAUUUAAAAAUAGCUGCAAGCUCUCUUUAAUCAAAACUUGCAAAAUACAAUCCAGCAGCGACCUUUGUUAAGUAUCCUGCUGCAGGUCUGUGUUGUCCUGGUGGUCACAGUGGGACAAAUGUAUGAAUUUUCCCAAAUGCCUUUUGGACAGUUGGGAUGCCACAGGUCGUCUUGGCAUAUAAACGAGUGGCAGUCAUGGUAGUGACAAAGCUCAAAGUUGGUCCAAAAGAAUAUUGUUUAUUCUUUUUCAUUACUGUAUUCAUAUAUAUGAUUUUUUUUAGUGCUUUUCCUACUUAUAUAGUCAUUAAGAGCUUUAAAAAAUAAUUGAACUGUUGUUUCUCCAACUGUUUAAUAAAUAAACUAAUGCCUGUAGUUAGACAUUAUGUAAUCGGGCCAAAUCUUAUUUGAACGUCAAUCUGUAUCAUGCUGCUAAUUUCAGUGAGAAAGACUCAUUAGAAUUGGUACCCAAAUUGGAGCUAUGCUGUUUAAAAGUAGCUGAUGGUAUAGCCCAAGAGGAAUAGAAAUGUGAUUAGACAUGUUUACAAUGUCCUCUGAAAUGAAAUAAAAUUAUUGAGAAAACUCCUGGAGGCAGGAAAAUAUUACAUUAUCUCCACAUAUUGUAUUGUCUUCAGAAAUGACUCUAAAGCAAGAAUGACUCAUUUUGGAAAACAAAGGAUGUAAUGAAAUACCCAUGAAAAGUCAGAAAACUGGAUGGUUACAAUGACAACUAUAAAUAGAUUUCUAUGAGCUUAAUAGGGGAUUUCAGUGAAACACCCAGGUGCUGAAUAGGGCAAGUCACUAGCUAUCUUGGGAGAUGGGGUUGCUUGAGCUUGAUUUAGUGGAAUAAUUAGGAAUUUUCUAUUAAAAAGAACUGUUACAGUGCAGUCCUAGCCGUGGUUACUGUUACCCCCCUGCAUCUCUCUUCAUAUUGUCUUGCUUGUAACUUUUCCUUGUGCAUUGCAGGCUGGUAAAUGCCCACAAGUAUUGUACCUUGCUGCUUGAUUAAAGUAAAUGAGGGUAGUGGAGGAGUAGGAAAAAAAUCCUGUGAGAUAAACUCCGUUCCUAAAUGGUCAGCAGCUCAUUCAACACUGGACCAGUGCUUCUUAAAGAUCAGCUCAUUGUCAGUCAUUUCUAACAACAUCAAGGCAAUCAGAGGUAUGGGAUAUACUUACAGGUAUAUGGUCUUCCUUUGCCUGAGACAACUCAAAAUCAAGUUAACUUUUUUUUUCUUGCCUCAAAUGUUUUAUUUCAGAUCUCCCUUUAUUCCGCAGUCAUUUAGAAAGCUGUCUUAAAUAAGCUCUUCAGCAUUUUUACCUCUUCACUCAGUCCCACUGGAAAUACUCAGUUAGUUUCUCUGAUCUUGCCCUGUGGCCAUGUGCCAGGAGCUCUGAUUUGGCAGUUUUUCCUCAGCCCUGGACUUCCUAACUGACACACCAUGAGAGGGGCACUCAUAAACAACCUCUAAUUAGGAAAAAAGUAGAGUCCUUCUCACAUGAUCAUUAGUUACUACACAAAAAAAAAAAAUAUUGGAACUCUAAAGUCAAACUUCUUUCCUCUCAGCUUGAAAAGUUCUUGUGUUUCUUACUUGCUAUUGUUCCAUGCUAUUUAUAACUUCUAGCUACCCAGGUGACCCUCAGUGUAGUUCCCCUGUUAGCUGAGAGGAACGUCAUUGUCUUCUUUCUUUCUAAAAUUACUUCAGUGUGCUUGAUCUUCUCUAUUUCCUCUUAUUAUUCUUCCCCAGUUCAUUGUUCCUGAUAUUGUUCCUAGACCGAGUUUAUUGAUUUCCUGUCUCUGUCCCUGUCUUUUGUUUAUUAAGAUGAUAUAUGUCUCAAGAUAAAGCCUAUAUUUUGUUACACAUAUUGGAUCUGUGUUUGAUCUUGCAAGAGAAUUGCCAUCCCAAAUUUAAGAGCUGAAUCACAAACAGAGUUACUCUAGAAGAGCCACAUAUUAAUUGUAAGCUCACGUACCCGCGCCUACCUCAAGAUUUAAUGUUCUCGCUGCUAUGUAUAAACCUCACUUUUAAAUCAGAAUUUGGUAUCUCGUGUUUUUUUUUCCUCCGUGCUGCAGUUAGACUUCUCUGGACAAAGGCAGCCAGUGCUUGUCCUGCAGAAUUGAAUGGUCCUUGGUGUGAAGGCAGGGGAAGGCAGUGCACACACCAGUGAAAGCCCAGAUGAGUCAGAGGAGAUAGGGAGGAAAAGAGAUAGGGACCCAGAAGAGUGGGGAAAGGUGCAAAUGGAGAGGACUGUUGACUGGAGCAUCCUUAAGCUGACAUUGCUCACUCCUCAUUUGUUCAGGAACACCCCAGGGUGUUCCCCAGAGCACCCUGCUGGAGGCAGGGCCUGGAGCCCCUCGUGUGGUCACUGAUGGACUUCAGCGGGGCCACGGCACGGCUUCAGGACGUGAUCUAACCAGUCAAAAACAAAGGAUAACUCAGCCCAUGUGUCCAUGUUAGUGUUGCACGGCUGGAUAAUGUUGACUUCAGUGGAAUUUUGCUCCAGCAGAGCUUUGCUCCAGUCAUGGUACUCUCUUUGGAAAGACAAACAUGAAUGUAUACUCAUAUCCUGAACGCAAGUUAAUUGAGUUAGAUAAGGCAAGAGAAGGUAAAUAUAAGUAAUUCUAUAGAGCAGGAUGCCAGCUGAUCUUGUGAUCUGAUAGGUCACUUCUCAUUAUUUGUUCUGCUAAAAGGAAAACUUGUGCAUUUCUUUGCAAUGUUUGUGAAUGGGUUCAUGUAUUUGUCUUUGCGUUUUUCUGCCACGGUGCCAUAAAUGAGAUAAGGAGUGAUUCAUGCGCCCCGUUAACAUGAGCACUGAGUGACGCGCCGACUGCUCCCACUGAAGCGAUGAAUAUAGCAGGAGGAAGAUGUGUUAUGUGUACAGUAUGCAAAAGGAUCUGUGGGGAGGCGAGGAUGUUUACGCAGCCAUAAAGAGAACAGGUGUGAGGGGGACCCCAAAUGAAAUCCAACAUCCUGUUUAUCAAAGGAAGUUUUUUCAUGGAACAUUGGUGUCCUUGUGCUCGUAUCUCUCCGCACAAGAGAAAUGGAGAUCAAUCAUAAAAAUAGCUGCAGUAUCAAGCUGCCUUCCUGGAUGCUGCUCUGCAUGGGAGUGGCUGAAAGGCUUUGCUCGGGCAGCGGUGUAACCGUGUGGUUGGGUCCCGGGAGGGAGGCCUGCUUUAUCUCGACGCGAUAGAAGAAUUUCCAUCUGCUCAGUUGGAGCAGAAUCCCUUUGUUUCUGACGAUCCUUGGCAUAGCGUUGACACUAGAACUGCAAUUUUCCAUUGUUGUUUUGGCCCUCGGAUAACUUCUUUUAUGGACAAGAGCUUACUAGCUGCACAUUUUCUAUUUAACGAAACUGGCAUUCUGCCACGUUGGCUUUCCUGCUGCGUUUUCAUUAGCAUGCCGUGAGGCUUUGGCUGUACAUAGAAGACACGAGGCCUUGCUGAGUGGCACUGAAGGGUUAUGUCCUGGCCACUGGAGAGCUCUAGAGUUAACCCUACAUGAAGUACUUCUCCGUGUUUUCCAAAUCAAAAUUAGAGAUGGAAACCUUGUUUGUUUCUUUCAGGUCAGCGAAAGUCAUCCCAGACUCCCAGAGGUUGAAGAGCAUUUUUUCCAUUUUGUAUUUAAUGACAAGCAAUAAAUAUUCUAUUAAGCCCUACUGGAGCUGUUGUAACAGCAGCACAGAGGUUACAGUGCGUCUGUGCAGCCUUGCGAACGGUUUUAUUCACAAUGCGCAAGGUAGAAUAAAACCACGUUCCCUAAUUCAUUCCUGCUAAAAUCAGCAGGGGACAGAUGCUGGCCGACUGUUGCAUGGGCUGCCUGGUGCAGCGGGUGAUGGGGUGUGCAGGGUCAGGAUCCUUGGGACAGCGGUAGCUGGGGUGGGCGAGCAGGACAGGAAUGAUAGGAGGGGGGGGGAAGGAGCCACAGCUGCAUCCUGCUGGGGCAGUCAUUUUGCAGAAAGUGAACUUAUGGUUUUAAGUUGGCUCAGCCAUCGAGCACUUAGAGAUUUAAACUAUUUUUUGUUGUUAUUAAAAAAAAAAAAAAUCACUGCUGACAAAAAUAUAUAUAUAUAUUCAUACAUAAUUUUGCUGGUUUUAGGCACAUUCUACUGUUCUGUUUGUGCAUGGUAAAAACAAUAGCUUUUUUUCCCCCGAAUAAUGACAAUAACGAAGUACCUUCAAUAACAAGCCACGCAACUUUAUAUAUGUUGUGAAGCUAUUCAGGUUGUGUUUGCCAAAUAUAACCCCUGACUGAACUUUAAAAUGUCUGCUUCUAGAAGUACAAGCAAAAGCCUUUUUAUAGCAGCCUCCUGACAAGGAGAAUUUAUGUAUUUCACAGUAUAGAAAAUCCUGGAGGCAGCGUUAUUUUUAGCUGUGUAACCUUUAAGCAUAUUAAUCUAUAUACCAGUAAAUUAGUUUUUAACAGGUGAAUGACUUAAUAUAGCAAGGCAGAUGAAUUACAGAUGUGGAUAAUGUCUGUCCAAACUGCUUUUUUCCUGGCUUUAGAUUAUUCAUCUGGAAUGGCUAGAAGCCAGCUCUGGGAAUUAUUGAUAAAAAUGAGUUAAGAAUAGAUUAGAACAUUUCCCUUGUGAAGUAUAAUGUUUCUCUGUUGACUGCAUUUUCCAUCUUCCAUUAAGCACUACAAGCCAGAUUGUUUUUAACCUGAUUUUAAACUAUUCAUGUUCUAUUUAAAAUAUAUUACUAUAAAUGCUUGAGUUCCUUAUUACAGAGUGAAGGAUGUUCUUUUCGAAGAAAUAACAUUAUUAUAAGCAAAAAGAGAAACAUUUCAGCUUUUCGCUUAGGGUUUUAUUUUUAUUUUUGUCUGUGGAGAAAUAAAAUCUCUGCUCUCCUAAGGACUUGCCUUCUCCCUGAGCUGGGUAGCUGAAAGGUGUGAUACCCAUUAAUUUUAGUCUGUGGUGCAAAUGCAGCUCUCUGAGUGUUCAGGCUUUUAGAACAGCCGUGGUUUUGUGUAGUUUCUUUGUUCUGUUCCUCUUUUCUCACCUUUGUUCUUAUUUCUAAUACAUCCAGAUUCCUGAGAAGAUUAAAAAGGUCUUUGACCUGUACGGAAAGUUGAAGGGAUGGAGUUACAUGCAGGGAAGUAAUUUGAAAUGUGAUAACAAAAAAUAAAUGCAUAAGUAUCCAUUCUAAAGCAUAAAAUAAAUGAGUUUCUGAAGUCUGUACUGUGAUGUAAUAAAUGUGAAAUGACUCCAUCCCUGUGAAGUUCAUAAGGGCUCCACUGUAACUCCGUGACAUUGUGAAUGCUUUGUUGCAUUUAAAAAAAUAAUAAAAAAAAUAAUAAUAAUAAAAAAGUUUUUAAUACUGAGAUUCCCCAAAUCCUGAAGGUUCUUAUGCAACAGAAGCUGGACUGCUCGAGUCCUUGGUUACGCCACUUCUCAUCUGUGGUAAGGAAAAACUGGUUUAAAAAAAAAAAAAAAGUAAUGGUGAAGACUGGAGUGUUCUGCACCAGGAGGGAAGUGAAAGGACAGCAGGCACUAAAUGUGCAAGGGGUUAAGGAUUCAGCUGUGAACUCUGACCUGUCUUCUUGUCAUCCUCACUUUUUUUUUUCCCCUGGUGUGUAAUGAAUAUAGUUCUUUCUCUUCUACAUAUUGGCAGUUAUUGCAGUAAUUUCCACAAAUGUUUUUUCAAUCCUAAAAGUUUUCUGUUCUGUACUACAUUUUCAUGCUAUUUUUAACUGUUAGAUGACUGUAAAACAAACUGCAUUUCAUCAGCUGUGCUGGUAAUACAAGAGGAGGCAUCUUCCUAAACCUUCUCUUUCCUGGCAGCCUCAUCACUUGUGAUCUUUUUCCAGCUCUAAUUUUCUCGGCUAUUGGAUACUGUGGGUAACUGGAUGAUGUGAGUAAAGAAGGUUUGUCUUUGGACAAAGUGGAGGUUAUCUGAGGUGCAGGUUGCAUGUAUAAAGAUGCUGUAUUUUAAAAGUCCAGCCUUCUUAUUUCCAUCUCUCCUGUCAUUACAUUUGUCAUCUCUCCUACACACUCACGUGCACCCAGCAAAGCUGGAAGUGCCGUAAGAGUGUGAAGGUGCCUCUCAGUGAAACAUCAUUAUCUUGGCAGUCGUUAGUCUUUUAGAUCUUCUAGAAAAGAUUGGGUGAGAAACAUCACGUGGGAUCUAUGCGGGAAAUGUAAGCUGGGUGACAAAGCAAUCCAACAUAGGUAAUAUUUAUAGAAGCAAUGCAAUAAAUUAUCAGGGUUAACAAACGUAUAAUCACAGAAAUAGAGGGAAGUUGCAAGUAGAAGAUAGCUCCUCUGUGGUUUUAAACUGGCUCUAUCGCUCAGGAGAUUUUUCUGUUUGUUGGUGUGCUAAUUUCUGAUAACUAUUAUAUCGCUUGGCUUUUGCAGGUUUUUAAGACUACUGUUGUUAUUCCACCAAAUCUCCCGUCUUCUCAUCUUCCCUUAUUAUUCUUUAAGUUCCAGCCAAGGUAUAUCUUGGCUGCUGGGAUAAAAUGUUUGAGGUAUUCAGCAAGGCUUUCAGUGGCAGUCUAGCCAGUGGAGCAGCUCGGCAUGUUUCUGUUCCUCCUUCCCUGCCCUACCUCAUCGCUCCCCUCCCUUCCUCAGCUCCCUGGACUAUGCAGUCCUGCCCCUCCCUGGGACCACUUCUGAGCUGUGACUAACCUAGCUUAGCUUUCUAAAAAUAACACAAAAGCUAUCAUUCCCAGCUCAGUGGCGUUGUCCUGACUGGUGGGACCAUGGGCCUGGACUGGAAUUUCAGAACAAACUGACCUUCUCGCAGGGGCCAGGCACGAAGCUUUUUGCCAAAGCCCAGCCAUGGCAGCAGCCCACACGAACUCCCACCUCCCUGCAGAUCGUUCACAGGUCAUCUACAUUGAGGAGAGCUUUGGUGUGAUAAAAAGUGAGGUAAACCCAACAUAUCUAGGGCAGUUACACUCAUCUGAUCGGAUCCUACAGCCAAGUAGAUGGAGGUGCGAGGUGUGGCCUGCACAUUUCAGACAAGGCCUUUCCUCAGGGACUGGCUCAGUGUCCGUAAAUGCUCGCUGCCAGACACCACGGCUUGUCCCUGGAAGCCAAUGACGCCUGUCACGAGGUAAUGUGCUACUAAACGGGAUCGAAACUGUGGGUGCCCAACUAGCAGGAAUCAAGAAAAAACACCCUGAAACUGUUCAGGCCCUUUCACGCCACGUUCAGGAUUUCAUUGAAAAGGCCCUGAUGUACAAUAGCUGCACCCAUUUAAGCACAAAGUGUUUCACUGAAAAGUGAGAGACUCCCAUGCAGGGGAAGAAAGUACGGAGGUUGCAACACUCCCGGGGAGCUGUGAUGAAUUCAGCAGCCUGUUUCGACUCUGCGCUAGUUGUGAAACCAUCCUUUUGUCCUCAGCGAGGUGAGUUUUGCCUGCCCUUGCCCACCGGUGUGGCUGGUGAGAUGACAGGGAGCAGUGUCUGCGGUGCAGGCUGUGCUGUGCUGAGCAGGGCCCACAUUGCUGUGCUGUGCUCGCACACCUCACGGCAUCAAACCGAGGAUGCGGCUCCUGUUUCUGGCUCCUGUGUCGCCUCCCCAGCCUGCCCACAGGUUUUCUGUGGUGUGUCGUCGUUUUGGCAGUUUUGUUUAACCUUACUGGUCUGAAACUCUUAUGUUUGUAUAUCAGAAGGGGAGCACACCCCCCCUCUCUGUAGUGCUGUGUCCAUAAAUGGUAUUUAAAUUUAUAAACUGAGAAAAAUGGUUGCUAUUUUAAGCAGCUGCUUCUGGAAGUCUGGCUCUGACCCUCCACAGCGAGGUCUAAAUAAUAAUUUUUUGAAGUUCCACAGUGUUAGGGUUCUGCCAUCUGCAGCAGCAGAGGCUGCAAGCAGAGACAAUGACAUUGCACCACUUUAUGUUAGUCCUAAACGUUAAAUGUAAUCAUAAUUCAAAAACUAAAAAACUUUUACAUUUUAAGAGAAAGAGGAUUUACAUUGGAGGAGGAUGAGGAGGGGUUGGUAGCUUUGCAGUCUCUUGGACAUUUGGAAGUUUUAUUUCAGUAUUUGUUUUGCAACCACAGGUGCUGUAAGAAGAAAAUUGAAUUUGUCAUGUUAAGCCACAGCUCCAACAGCUGUGGGCUCAUGGACAAGGAAAGGAGAUUUCAGGAGCUAGAAGUGCUGCCUGAGGACAACGUACUUUUAAUCUGUGUGCAGCUCUAAAUCAGAAACACCUAGCCCUGCUUAAAGCAAAAUCUCCAGUCUUAAACUUUCAUUUUUCAUUUUUCCUUGCUGAAACCCUGUCAAAUAAUCUCACUACAGCAUAUUACUAAAUACCCGCUUAAUUAAUGUGCCACGAUUGAUUGCUGCCACUGCUAUGGCAGCAGCUAGGAGUUGUUUCCUAACCACCCGACUUUUACUGCUCUGCUUAGGAAGCUGUGUCACGAGGCAGUGUAAGUGACACCGCGCUGACAUCUGUGGCAGUGCAUGAUGACAUUAUUGAAUGAAUCAAAAGGGAAGGGCAAAUUUCAAUAUGUAUAUCCUGGUGUGCAGCAGUGACUGAUAUGGAAAAUAUUAAGAAGCGGCAUAAUGAGUGGUGUAAGUGGGAGUGCUGUGUGUACGUGGGACUUUGCUAAAAAAAAAAAAAAAAAAAAAAAAAA
Molecule: long non-coding RNA, 10481 nt
Organism: Anas platyrhynchos (mallard)
Lineage: Eukaryota; Metazoa; Chordata; Aves; Anseriformes; Anatidae
Source: RefSeq, a predicted model, not a curated record